Molecule: ribosomal RNA, 497 nt
Filed under: uncultured bacterium
Lineage: Bacteria
Description: partial 16S ribosomal RNA
Rfam family: Bacterial small subunit ribosomal RNA
Source: RNAcentral
GAUGAACGCUGGCGGCGUGCCUAAUACAUGCAAGUCGAGCGAACAGACGAGGAGCUUGCUCCUCUGACGUUAGCGGCGGACGGGUGAGUAACACGUGGAUAACCUACCUAUAAGACUGGGAGAACUUCGGGAAACCGGAGCUAAUACCGGAUAAUAUAUUGAACCGCAUGGUUCAAUAGUGAAAGACGGUUUUGCUGUCACUUAUAGAUGGAUCCGCGCCGCAUUAGCUAGUUGGUAAGGUAACGGCUUACCAAGGCAACGAUGCGUAGCCGACCUGAGAGGGUGAUCGGCCACACUGGAACUGAGACACGGUCCAGACUCCUACGGGAGGCAGCAGUAGGGAAUCUUCCGCAAUGGGCGAAAGCCUGACGGAGCCACGCCGCGUGAGUGAUGAAGGUCUUCGGAUCGUAAAACUCUGUUAUUAGGGAAGAACAAAUGUGUAAGUAACUAUGCACGUCUUGACGGUACCUAAUCAGAAAGCCACGGCUAACUACGUG